This 439-nucleotide ribosomal RNA is filed under the name uncultured bacterium. RNAcentral's name for it is "bacterial SSU rRNA". It matches the Rfam family "Bacterial small subunit ribosomal RNA", at positions 959 to 1397 of the family's 1533-position model. The record is from RNAcentral.
ACGCGUGGAACCUUACCAGGUCUUGACAUCCCAUUGACCGCUAUGGAGACAUAGCUUUCCCUUCGGGGACAGUGGUGACAGGUGGUGCAUGGUUGUCGUCAGCUCGUGUCGUGAGAUGUUGGGUUAAGUCCCGCAACGAGCGCAACCCUUGUUCUUAGUUGCCAUCAUUUAGUUGGGCACUCUAAGGAGACUGCCGGUGACAAACCGGAGGAAGGUGGGGAUGACGUCAAAUCAUCAUGCCCCUUAUGACCUGGGCUACACACGUGCUACAAUGGACGGUACAAACGGUUGCCAACCCGCGAGGGGGAGCUAAUCCGAUAAAACCGUUCUCAGUUCGGAUUGUAGGCUGCAACUCGCCUACAUGAAGCCGGAAUCGCUAGUAAUCGCGGAUCAGCAUGCCGCGGUGAAUACGUUCCCGGGCCUUGCACUCACCGCCCGU